GACGUAGGGGGCCAGCGUUGUUCGGAAUUACUGGGCGUAAAGGGUUCGUAGGCGGCGUAGCAAGUCGGGAGUGAAAUCUCUGGGCUUAACCCAGAGGCUGCUUCCGAAACUGCUGUGCUUGAGUGUGGGAGAGGCGCGUGGAAUUGCAGGUGUAGCGGUGAAAUGCGUAGAUAUCUGCAGGAACACCCGUGGCGAAAGCGGCGCGCUGGACCACUACUGACGCUGAGGAACGAAAGCUAGGGGAGCAAACAGG
RNAcentral lists this ribosomal RNA (253 nucleotides) under uncultured bacterium. Its description in RNAcentral is "partial 16S ribosomal RNA". It matches the Rfam family "Bacterial small subunit ribosomal RNA", at positions 524 to 776 of the family's 1533-position model. The record is from RNAcentral.